Molecule: long non-coding RNA, 894 nt
Organism: Penaeus chinensis
Lineage: Eukaryota; Metazoa; Arthropoda; Malacostraca; Decapoda; Penaeidae
Exons: 3
Source: RefSeq, a predicted model, not a curated record
AGUGACAAACUCAGGAAAUACCCACUCGCUUCGCUUGUUAUGUAUGGGUAUUGUCGCGUCCCUAAAAUUAACUGUGACUGGAGUGUGCGUUCUCAGCGGAUCGUGUGAUGUGCGUUCAUUCGCGUUCAUGGAAGGUGAAGUGCGUGUGUUCGUAAGUGUGUGGCGAGGUUAGGCGCUCGGCGGUCAGUGUGUGUGCAGCCGUCAGUGGGGGUGGACGUUCCUCUUGUCCGCGCGCCGUCACUGGGUGAUUUUUUUUUCCUUUUUUCUUUAAAAACAGACGUCGCCGCCGCCACCACUCUAGGACAGGUACGAAUUGUUCACGAGACCGAAGGAGGACGAGCUGCGUCUUGUGAGGUGCGCCGCAUAACCCACAGUGAAUGCCAGCGGAGUUACCCCCAUCAAGGUAAGCAUUUCCGAAGGUCGAAAGAAAACGGGACACGGUAUACCGCCCUUUGCCUUACCGUAUCUUGCCUUCGGUGAACUAUGUAUAUUAUUCCAGUCUAAUUCACGAGCUGACCUGCGUCCUAAUUACUUCUGUUGCAAUUUCUCAUACUCUCUCCUGUUCGGUAAUUGGUUUCAGGAGGUCUGUUUGGUUAAAGUACUUCUAAUGGAGAAAUGGCGCCUCAUCAGCUGGUCGUCUUUCGCUUAAAUCAAUAUGGUAAUGAAGGAGAGGCCUGGUUCAUGCUUGUUUUUUUCUUUUCUUUUUUUACCUUUUUUGUUUGGUUUUGGGAACGUGAGUUAAAUGAUGAUUACCUUGGCGUGAUUUCGGUUAUGAUUUAAAACAAGGUGGAGGCGAUUCGGUCCCACGAUUAAGGAAGUGAGUGUGGAGUUAAUUUGCUUGUUUAUUUAUCUUAUCUUGAGAUGGAGUUGAUAGUGUUUGGGCGGAGGAAAGAA